AACAUGAGCGAGGGAUCAACCAUGUCAAAAGCUGCUGAUAAGUUCAAUAGGAUCAAUGCUCCCAGCCCUCCUUGAUUGGCCUGCUGAGGUAGAUCAUCCACCACUGAUACUAACAUGCUCUCUGUGUCCAGAACUGGUUGAAGACCUGACUGACGAGGAUUGAAAAAGUUGGUGGUCUCCAAGAAGGAGCUCAGAAUAGAAGAGACUAAGGAUUCAAGAAUCGCUCCAUCUGUCACUUGGACAACUGUGGUAAUUCCAGAGCUGAUAUGCUGAGGAGCUCUGGGAUGUGUGCAUUCAUCAGACGAAGACUAAUCCAGGCUUGCUGGUGCAGCAGGUGACCUUCCCUCAUGUCCAGUUACUCGGACCUCGGCGAGUGCUUUGUUUUGAAGACUCAAAUGGUCCCACCUGACACCCACCCUGCCUCCUCCAGCCCUCCUCUCUGACCCCCCAAAGGUGGAGUGCUACGUCACAGUCAGGGACGGAAGAGCAGAUUGGUUGCGUGGGCCACACGCCACUAUUGCCAUAGGAAGGCUUGUUGCCCUGCUGCAGCAGAUGGCGGAUGGACUUCCUGGUAUGAGCACCUGGAACCCAUUUGUUUGUUUCCCCCAUCAUCUUUGCCAACUCCUAAGUGGGGAAUCUAGACAGUGCACUGUCUCACCUGUUCUGUUGGGGAGGUGGUGCAUUAGCAUGAUUGAUAGGACCCGAAAUAAGGUGAAGCAUGUAUGGGCAGAGCAGAGCCAGAGGUAAUUUUGGUGGAGAUCCGUAGUGGUCCUGACAAGCAAAUCUGUCGUCCGACCUGGGUAUAGGGGAGAUAGACUCAUUGAAACAUAUAGUGGCUGGUUCACUCCAAUGUUUCCCUCUGGAUAGCUGGCGCUCAGGAACCCCAGUUUCAUUUGGUAAAGUGAGUAAUGGGGCAAAGAAAAUCUGAACUGAUUCUCAAACUUAACAUGGGUGCAAAGUCUGGCUGGCCGAUGUGGAGCUGGGCAUCAGCUGUCAGUGCUCAGUGGGCAACAUUUUGUAAGCAGAACUGGUACUGCAAGAUGAACCAAAUGCCAGGUUAAGCUGAUGCUGACACCCAUCAGAUCCCAGAAAGGAGUUUGUUGAUAUAGACAGUCGGAAUCUGCAAAGGAGUGUGUAACAACUCACCUGCCGAAUAAAUUAGCAAUGGAAGAUGGAUGGCGCUGGAGCCUUGGAGCCAUACCCAAUGGUUGCUGGUGCUGUGAGCUGUGGGCGCUGGGCCAUUGUGGUGCACAUGGAACCCUCGGGCAAGAGCCCGGGUGGAGCCACCGCAGUUGCAGAUUUUGAUGGUAGUAGCAAAAAUCCAAGGGAGUACUUUGAAGGCCAAAGUGGAAAAUGGUUUGAUGUGAAUAGCAGUUGAACAUGGGUCAGUCAAUCCUAAGAGAUAGGCGAGCGCCAUUCGGAAGGGACGGCCGAUGUCCUCAGUUGCCCUCAGCAAAUCAGAAGUAAGUUUGAGUCCGAUCCCCAAACCCGGAGUGGCGUAGACAGGCACCCUCCUGGCAUCCAGUGCAGUAACACAAACAAUCACAGAGAAGCUGACGAGCGCCCUGGAAUGGGUUUGCCCCGAGAGAGGGGUUCAGACCUUGGAAAGCGUUGCAAUUCCAGCAGUGUCACAGGAACUCUCACUGGAGUUUGAAAAUCCGGGGUGAUGUUUUGAAUCUCAUUCUGAGCCUUAUGCAUCUCCACAGCUGGUCUCUUAGGUCAACAGCCUCUGGCAUGUUGCAAUAAUAUAGGUAAGGGAAGUUGACAAGUUGACAAGUCAGAGCCAGACCUUUCACAUGAGGAUUGGCUCUAAUGGGUGGGUCAGUCAGGCUGUGGUGCAAAGAUGGGCUGGGCAUGCAACAUGGUGUCUCGCUCCCAGUUGUGGUGCUGACUCAGGACACAAGUAUUCCCUUUCUGUGGUUCUCCCCAGCUGUGGUGGUGGCCUCUGUAUGUUCCCCUCCCGGGGUUUCAACCGGAAUUUUUCCACAGACAAUGCCUAGCAGCUGACUCAGAACCUUUGUGUACCCAGGGAAUCCAACUGUUUAAGUUCAUCAAAGCAUCGAGAAGGACAACAGGACCAUGUGAUUUCUGGCCACUGCUGUCUAUAUCAAAGUGUAGUGAUUGAAUGAAGCACAGGUAAAUGACAGGUGUAUCUAUGAGUCUCAUAAAAUAGCCACAUACCUCAUCAUCUUAAUUGCUGACAUGCAUGAAUUGAUGAACGAGAUUCCUACUUCCCAUACCUACUAUCUAGCAAAACCACACUCAAGGGUACAGGCUUGGAAGAAUCAUCAGGGAAAGGAGAGCCUGUUGACUUGACUCUAAUGUAGAAUUUUGAAGAGAGUUGAGAGGUGUAGGAUAAGUGGGUGGCCCUCAUAGCACCAGUAACUUAUCAUAUUAUUUAUGUCAGUUAACCAGUGAAGCGGCGAGAAGCCCAGUGGAGCUCUCACUUCUGGCUGUAAGCACUUGGCACUCAUCAGGUACAACCUGCUGCGGGAACAGUUGCAGGUGGGGAGUUUGACUGGGGAGGUACAUCUGUCAAACGAUAACAUAGGCAAGCUCAUGGAGGACAGAAACCUCCCGCAGAGCAGAGGGCCAAAAGCUUUUUUGUCCUUGAUUUCCUGUUUGAAUAACGACCAUGAAAGCGGGGCCUCAUGAUCCUUCAGGCUUGUUGGGUUUGGAGCAGAAGGUCUCAAAUACGUUACCACAGGAUGGACAACCUUGUGUUGCCAAGCGUUCAUAGUGGCAUUGCUUUUUGAUCCUUCAAUGUCAGCUCUUCUUAUCGUGAAGCAGAAUUCAGCAUGCGUUGGUUGUUCACACACUAAUGGGGCGUGUGAGCUUGGUUUACACCAUCGUGACACAGUUUGGUUUCACCCAGUGAUGAUGUGCUGUUGCAAUUGUAUUCCUGCUCAGUAUGAGAGGAACAGCAGGUUCAGACUUUGGUGUAUAUGCUUGGCUUACUAGCCAAUGGGGUGAAGCGACCAUUUGUGGGAAUGUGAGUGAACACCUCUAAGUCAGAAUCCCAGACCAUAAUGAUGCCACAGCGCUGCAGAGCCCCGGUUGGCCUAGGAUUGCCAGACUCUGGGCUGGUGCAUAGAUCUGCUUGCCUCGGGACUCGAGUGUGGACAGAAGGGGCUCACCACUCUCACCCGUAGUGCACUGCAUGGUUGUAGGGAACCUGGUGCUCAAUCAUUCCUAGGCAGCCCGAUUCUGGGUCAGGAUUUUGU
This 3224-nucleotide ribosomal RNA is filed under the name Ambystoma mexicanum (axolotl). RNAcentral's name for it is "eukaryotic LSU rRNA". The stretch from base 599 to 3224 matches the Rfam family "Eukaryotic large subunit ribosomal RNA". Lineage: Eukaryota; Metazoa; Chordata; Amphibia; Caudata; Ambystomatidae. The record is from RNAcentral.